RNAcentral lists this transfer RNA (71 nucleotides) under Oxalobacteraceae bacterium. RNAcentral describes it as "tRNA-Cys". It matches the Rfam family "tRNA". Rfam says of the family: Transfer RNA (tRNA) molecules are approximately 80 nucleotides in length. The record is from RNAcentral. Lineage: Bacteria; Pseudomonadati; Pseudomonadota; Betaproteobacteria; Burkholderiales; Oxalobacteraceae.
GACGGGGUCGCAAACUGGGUAUGCACCGGCCUGCAAAGCCGGCAACGUUGGUUCAAUUCCAACCCCCGUCU